Molecule: ribosomal RNA, 497 nt
Filed under: uncultured bacterium
Lineage: Bacteria
Description: partial 16S ribosomal RNA
Rfam family: Bacterial small subunit ribosomal RNA
Source: RNAcentral
GAUGAACGCUGGCGGCGUGCCUAAUACAUGCAAGUCGAGCGAACAGACGAGGAGCUUGCUCCUCUGACGUUAGCGGCGGACGGGUGAGUAACACGUGGAUAACCUACCUAUAAGACUGGGAUAACUUCGGGAAACCGGAGCUAAUACCGGAUAAUAUAUUGAACCGCAUGGUUCAAUAGUGAAAGACGGUUUUGCUGUCACUUAUAGAUGGAUUCGCGCCGCAUUAGCUAGUUGGUAAGGUAACGGCUUACCAAGGCGACGAUGCGUAGCCGACCUGAGAGGGUGAUCGGCCACCCUGGAACUGAGACACGGUCCAGACUCCUACGGGAGGCAGCAGUAGGGAAUCUUCCGCAAUGGGCGAAAGCCUGACGGAGCAACGCCGCGUGAGUGAUGAAGGUCGUCGGAUCGUAAAACUCUGUUAUUAGGGAAGAACAAAUGUGUAAGUAACUAUGCACGUCUUGACGGUACCUAAUCAGAAAGCCACGGCUAACUACGUG